This 160-nucleotide small nuclear RNA is filed under the name Crocodylus porosus (Australian saltwater crocodile). RNAcentral's name for it is "U1 spliceosomal RNA (ENSCPRG00005004329.1)". The record is from RNAcentral. Lineage: Eukaryota; Metazoa; Chordata; Crocodylia; Crocodylidae.
AAAAAUAAAUGUUUUGAUUAAGAUGAACUGUAGCUCAAGUAUAGAGUGAGGUCUAUCCCUUGCACUCUUGGCAGGCUGGCUCCUGAGAGUUUCCACAAAUGUAGGAAACUUAAUUGCACCGUUCUGUGGGAAUGGGGGACUGCACUUGUGCUUUCCCCCU